Molecule: long non-coding RNA, 5190 nt
Filed under: Sus scrofa (pig)
Lineage: Eukaryota; Metazoa; Chordata; Mammalia; Artiodactyla; Suidae
Description: lncRNA (ENSSSCG00030020365.1)
Source: RNAcentral
GUCCAACAUCUUAAUGUCAGUUAUUUUUUAAAAAAUUAAAUCAACGUUCAGAUUUUUGCAGUUUUAGAAGCUGACUCUGGGCUUGAAUAGGCCUAUAAGAUAAUUUAGCUAAAUCUGAAUUACAGUCAGCUGACAUAGCCCCUGUCCAGGCUUUAAGAAUCUCCUUAAAAAAAUACCCCCAAAACCAGAUUUUUCAGCCUAUAUUUAAUACACCUUACAAUUUAUCCAUUUAAAGUGUAUAAUUCAGUGGUUUUCAGUGUAUUCACACAAUUGUGCAACCAUCACUAUACUCAACUUUAGAACAUUUUCAUCAUCCCAACAAGAAGCCUUAUACCUGUUAGCAAUCACUCCUCAUUCCCAUUCCUCUGCUCAUGUCCUCUCUUUAUCCCCUGAAAGCAACUAAUCUAUUUUUUGUCUCUAUGAAUUUGCAUAUUCUGCAUAUUUUAUAUGAAUGGAAUCAUAUAAUAUGUGGUUUUUAUGACUGGCUUCUUUCACCUAGCAUAAUGUUUUCAGAAUUCAUCCAUGUUCUGUCAUAUAAAGUACUUUAUUUAUUUUCUAUUGCCAGAUAUCUUGCUCCUUAAUUUGUUAAUUUAGUGACAGGCAAGUUUUACAGCUCGUUCUUUUUUACAGCUGGUUCUUUGCAGAAUUGACAUUAAUCAAAUUUCUCUGUCUAAUGUAAAGGAGCCAACAAAUGUGCAAAGUCUAAUUCUCUAGUAUAUGUUAAUAAAGCCCUUCUUGGGCUUACAUGGAAGUGGGAGACUUUCCUGUCUGUUUCUGCCCGUUUCCAUUCCCACUUCACUUCACUCUGGAUCGCACAGGGCUGGCUGACAGUGUUACCCGAAAAGCUUCAGAUGGGGAAGGGGGCCUAUUAGCUGAUUUUAGCCAUAAUUAACACAGUGCUUCCAUCUCUGGCAUUUAUUGUUUGUUUUGUAUUACUCUUCUCUUUGGGUCUACUUUUGCCUUAUCCACACAUCUCUGCCACCAUUUACACCCCUAUUUUUUCCCCAGUCUUCCCUCUUAUAUAUAGAGUAUGAUAGAACCACACUCUUGGUUAUAUCAAACUGUUCCUCAGUCCUUUGUAAGUUAAGACAAUAAAGUUAUGAGACUCACAUGAGUUUUAGGAGUACAUUUACAAGCAUUUCAUAUCCAGAUAAAUAUCGGUACCUUGAACGUAGUUUUUCUACAUAGAAGCAGCCUAAAUGUUCAUUGGCAGAUGAAUGGAUUAAAAAGAUUAGUAUAUAUAUAUAUACAAUAGACUACUCAGGCAUGUAUAUACAUAUAUAGAAAUGAAUUAAAUAGUGCCAUUUGCAACAACAUGGAUGCAACUAGAGAUUAUCGUAAGUAAAGUAAGUUUGAGAGAGAAAGACAAAUACCAUGUGAUAUCACUUAUAUGUGGAAUCUAAAAUAUGGCACAGGGAAUUCUCGUCAUGGCGCAGUGGAAAUGAAUCCGACUAGGAACCAUGAGGUUGUGGGUUCAAUCCCUGGCCUCUCUCAGUGGGUUAAGGAUCUGGCAUUGCCGUGAGCUGUGGCAUAGGUUGCAGAUGCGACUCGGAUCUGGCGUUGCUGUGGCUGUGGCGUAAGGUGCUGUGGCUGUGGCAUAAGGUGCUGUAGCUCCGAUUCGACCCCCAGCCUGGGAACCUCCACAUGCCAUGGGUGUGGCCCUAAAAAGCAAAAAAAAAAAAAAAAAAANCUAGAACCUUACAUAACUCAGUGCAUUUAAAAAAUAAAAUAAAACAAAAUAUGGCACAAGUGAACCUAUCUACAAAAACAGAGACAGACUCACAGACAUGGAGAGCAGACUUGUGGUUGCCAAGGAGAAGCGGGGAAAGAGCUGGAUGGACUGAGAGUUUGGGGUUAGUAGAUGCAAAUUAAUACAUUUAGAAUGGAUAAGAAAUGAGAUUCUACCGUACAGCACAGGGAACUCUGUGCAGUGUCUUGGGGUAGACCACGAUGAAAGAUAACAUAAGAAAGGGAAUGUGUAUAUAGAUAUAUAACUGGGGUCAUUUUGCAGUGCAGCAGAAAUUGGCACAACAUUGUAAAUCAACUAUAAUAAAAAAUUUUUUUAAGUAGUCGUCCUAGUUAGCUACAUAUUUAUUCAAAAAUUCUUUCAUUGCUAAAAAUAUUGUGGUCACCUCAUCUAGCAUUCCUCUCAAAACUAGUCUCAGCCAUGCAAGAAAGCCAGUUAAACUUUCUUAUAAUUACACUAUCACAGUGAGAGUUUGCCACUCUACUUGUUUUUGUCUUCCAGUUCCCAGUCCCCCUUUUUCUUUGUUGUUCUAGUCUUCAAGCAAGAAGAGUUCUGGAUUCUAUGGGGCUCCAAGUAUGAGGCAGGGGGCAAGGUCCAUCCCCAUAGAGAGCCCAGGCAGGGAAGGGAAGUUGGCAGGCUUCACAAGACUUUGACCUUUAAACAAAGCAAGCUUAAGUAGCUCUUUUUGGUCUGUCCUUUCCAUUGUUCCACUUCUGCUCUGUGAUCCCUCCGCCACCUUUUGUAUGGUAAAGAACCAUCAAAUCCUAGGACUGGGACGCAGCCUUGAAUUGUCCAAUUCUCAAAGUAACUUGGGGAGAAUGUGUAGGGAGAAGAAUGUCAUGUGGCUCCAUUUCCUUGUGCUCCUGGAUAGUUGGUUAAUGUUCUACCAGCACUUCCUAUUGUGAGGAGCAGAGGAUCAUAUUCUAGCCCCACGUCACUGCUCAGGGCAGAGGGCACUCUGUAGAGAGUUGAGAUUUCGAGAGAGACCUGCACCUGACCUUUGUACUUCAUCUUUAGAGUCUAUAUUUAACCUGUGGUCUGUGUCUUCUCAGGUGUAAAGCUCUAGAUUUUCAUAUUCUCUUCCUCUUUUCUUCUCUGUUUUUGGGGUGAAGUGACAAUGUCUACCAGUAGAGGAAAAAGAAAUAGAGUGCACAGCAAAAAUUAAUGUAAAGCUGAGCUCCCUGCCCAUCAUGCCUCCCUCUCCUCCCUAGUGGUUCGUGAACACCCCUCCAAACCCAGGUGAGAUGGUAGCUGAUUGUACCAAUAUAUCUAUAGGAUCUCCUUAAAGGUGGGGAGACCUAUGUUCUGGCUACCAUCUUACGUACUUUUCUCUUUUCCAGAGGUGUCUAAUCGCACAAAGAGAUAUGAGGCCAAAUGUCUAUAGAUUCAUCCUCCUCCCCCCCUUUAUUAGUUGCAGAUUGUGUUGUAGUGUCCAUUUAGAUAAAGUGGAGGAAGCAUUGGAUCACCUGCCAGGGAAGGGAACCAGAGAGCAUCUGUGGGACAGACCAAGAGAUGAGGUGCAAAGAAGGAAGGAAACUAAAGGAAGCCAAAGAACUGUAGGAAGUGAGGGUCUGAUCCAUAGGAGAAUAAAGAGGGGGCUAGACAGAGACUUUGGGUGGUCCCACCCCGCUGCCUGCAAGAAGAGUUGCCUGAUCGGUGGCUAUUAUGGACCUGGCCUUAGGCUAGGUUCUGGGCUGUAGAGAUCAAUAGACAUAGUCCCCACUUACCAUGUACAGUCUAACUGAAAGAAGACAGCAACAAAGAGAAACUGGAUGAGAAUUUCUAGAUGCGUGGUGGUGUGGGCUGGGAUACUGCUUCUGUCAAGAACAGCAAACAUUUAUUGCUCACCUGCUGUCUUCUAAGCAUUUUGCACACAGAUUAACUCACUGAGUCCUGACAACAGCCCUGUAAGUGGGUAAUGUUAUAAUCCCCGUUUUAUAGGUGAAGCGUCUGAGGCAGAGACAUUACGGGUAGCUUGCCUGGAGUCUCCCAGUAGGGACUCCGGAGCAGGCGCUCCAGCACAGCUGGUCUGGCUCUAGAAGGUAACGUGGCCUCUAGUGAGUCCUCAGAAGAGUGUGUGGAAGCUUUGCAGCUUCGCAUCCACUGGCUUGGUACCCGCUUGCCUGCCUUUUUGCCGGGAAGACUCUUCCUUAAAGACUCUGGUCAAGGGAGCCGCUCCCUUGACAUCGGGUCUGACUCCUGCCUCUCCCGGGGCAGUCACUGUCCUCAGAGCUCGACUAGCACUUUGCGUAUAUUUUGUUUAACUACUUGUGUUCUGUGUGUUGAACUAUCUGACUCUUGUGUUAUAAGUUCUGGAGAGCAAGGACUUUUUUUAUUCCAGAAAUUUUCAAAUAGUUACAGGAGUAACGCUCAUAAUAUAAUGAAUCUACAUACAUGUGCUCAUCAUGCAGCUUCAGCGACUGUCAUGUCAUGGCCAGCUUGGUUGCAUUUAUACUCCUUUUCCCAAACCUGGCUUGUUCUGAAGGAAAUCCCAGAUAUCAAAGCAUCCCAUCUGUGAAUAUUGCAGUGGUGUUACUAAAAUAUAAGGGUGCUUUAAAAAACGUAAUCACAGUACCAUUGCCACCCUAAAAAGUAAUUCUCCCUCAGUAUCAUAAAAUAUUCAGUGUUUGCAUUUUUGCGGUUAUCUCAUAGUUUUUCCCUUUUCUUCCCUUCUCAUGUUUUCAGGAGAAUUUUUUUGAAUAAAGAUCCAGAUAAGGGCUUUAUUUAAUAAUUACCAUGUUUUUCUCACCAAGAGGCUGAGUAAUGACAUAUAGUAAAUCCUCAGUAAAUGAUGUUGAAUGCGUGAAUCAUCAGAAUCAUCUAUAAAAUGUCCUGAUUGUAUUAGUUCAGCCUUACUGUUGGUUUUGGUUGGUUUGUUGGGAUGGCUUUUGGUUUCUGUCAACUUUAGCUCCGGUGCCGGCUGCUUCUCAGUGCCUGUGAACAUGACUAAAGGUUUGAGGGUGGUGAAUGCCCCUGUGACUCAGAUUGACAGGGUAGCAGGUAAUGGGCCCUUGCUUCCUUGUGUCUGUGUUUUGUCCUUAGUCUCUUGUUAUAGCAAGUUGAUGCUGGACCAACCACGUUUGGCUUUUUGGCGAUUUCUUCAGAACUGGGACCCUGAAAGAGCUCCCUGAGAGCAUAUGGCUUUGAUGUGGUGUUGUAGGAGGCAGCAUUCUAGGAUGGUACCCCAAAAUUUACUCCUAAUCCCUGGACUGUAAAUAUGUGAUGAGCAGUCGUGUGUGUGAUAGUGUUCCCUUAUGUGGUAAGAGGGAUUUUGCAGAUGUAAGUAGGGUUCCUAAUCAGCUGACUUUAACAAAAAGAAAUAUGAUCUAAGUGGGCUUAAUGUAAUCAUAGGAGCCUUCUAAAAGCAGGCAGGCAGUUUUUUCCCAACUGUCUCAGAAGGAGAAAUCAAAAAGAUUGGCAGAACACUGUAAAUCAAGUAUAAU